RNAcentral lists this ribosomal RNA (253 nucleotides) under uncultured bacterium. Its description in RNAcentral is "partial 16S ribosomal RNA". It matches the Rfam family "Bacterial small subunit ribosomal RNA", at positions 524 to 776 of the family's 1533-position model. The record is from RNAcentral.
UACGUAGGUGGCAAGCGUUGUCCGGAUUUACUGGGCGUAAAGAGCGCGCAGGCGGUUGAUUAAGUCGAAUGUGAAAGCCCCCGGCUCAACUGGGGAGGGUCAUUCGAUACUGAUUGACUUGAAGGCAGGAGAGAGAAGUGGAAUUCCUGGUGUAGCGGUGAAAUGCGUAGAGAUCAGGAGGAACAUCAGCGGCGAAGGCGGCGAACUGGAUAGUAACUGACACUCAACUACGAAAGCGUGGGGAGCAAACAGG